GACGGAGGGGGCGAGCGUUGUUCGGAAUUAUUGGGCGUAAAGGGCUCGUAGGCGGAUCCGCCAGUCUGACGUGAAAUCUCCACCGCUCACCGGGGAGGGGCCGUUGGAUACUACGGAUCUGGAGUUCGGCAGAGGACCAUGGAAUUUCGGGUGUAGCGGUGGAAUGCGUAGAUAUCAGGAGGAACACCGAUGGCGAAGGCAGAUCUCUGGGCCGUAACUGACGCUGAUGGACGAAAGCGUGGGGAGCGAACAGG
RNAcentral lists this ribosomal RNA (254 nucleotides) under uncultured bacterium. RNAcentral's name for it is "partial 16S ribosomal RNA". It matches the Rfam family "Bacterial small subunit ribosomal RNA", at positions 524 to 776 of the family's 1533-position model. The record is from RNAcentral.